This 2237-nucleotide long non-coding RNA is filed under the name Nicotiana benthamiana. Its description in RNAcentral is "long non-coding RNA (NBEN_LNC027176)". The record is from RNAcentral. Lineage: Eukaryota; Viridiplantae; Streptophyta; Magnoliopsida; Solanales; Solanaceae.
GUACAUUGUAGUCCACAAAAAGAAAAACAUAAUUACCAACCAUGAGCAAAAAUAAAAACAUACCAGAUAAAGUUCAUAAACUGGGUCACUGAAGGGGGUCCUAGACUGGUUCACACUAGGACAGGACACCUAAGGCUUAGAAGAGUUGUAGGGUUGGGUUUGUAGCAGAUUGAGCAUUUGUUGGAGCAUUCCUUUAUGUUUCUCCUUCUCCUUUGCAAGUUCAGCUCUCAACACAUUCCUUUCUCCCUCCAAUUCAUCAAUUCUGGCAUGAAGCCUUGCUAUCUCAGCAUCCUUUGUCCCAACCUCCUGAACCAAGGCUCUGACCUUGUUGUUCACAGUUGUCUUCACAGAUGACUUGGGUUCAACUGGGCCUGUACUGAGCAAAUAAUCACAAGCUUGAAGGGUGUUGAUGCCAAAGUGCUCUUUGCUGGAAGUCAUUUCCAACUUCUUCAACAGAACAUCCAGUCUUUCAAGAAGAGUUGUCAAGAUAAAUCCAUAGGGAAUGGAAUGAGCCUUUGAGCACCCUUUCAAGCAGCUUCACAAUGAAGGCGGGCCAGUUGAUCUGCUUCCCUUCAUUCAUGCAUUGCAUGAGAACCAGAUCCAUGUAAUUUGUUGUAUGCCUUCUCUCCUGUCUGGGCAGAAGGCAUUUGUUGAAACCUUGAAGAGCACUUUAUGCUCUGGCCUCCUUUCACUUUUCUAAACUGCCCUGGCCUCAGGAACCUCCUCAUCUGAUUUGGGGUCGCAAAAAUUCCUACUGAUCUGAAUAUCAGUAGGCAGUCCAUUCAAACAUUGCCACCUCUUUCUUGUAUAGUCAUCAUAUCCCUCACUAGAGAUGUCCAGAAUCUUACCAGCUUGGCAGCAUUGAACUUCACUUUUACUCCUUUCACGAUGCUAGUCACCAGUCCAUGUUUCACUGUCCCAUUUGCCAUGAACUCAACCAGUUAUUUCCUGGCCAAUUUUCCAUCCUUCUGAAGGACCAUGUCCUUCCAUCCCAAUGCUUCUAGUGCAGUCACAAGUCUCAUCAUAUCUGGGUCCUCCAUGUCUUUGAGCAGUCUUCCUUUCAAGAUCUUUCUUCUGCCAAACAUGGCAUACCUGUUCUGUUCCUUUUCUCACUCAUCCUCUUCUUCUUCACUCUAAUCUUCUUCCUCUUCUUCAGCUAUUUUUACUUGUUUUCCUUUUGCUGCUGACCUAGUUCUCUUGGUAAGAGAAGGUUCAGCAGGUAUUGUCUUGGAGGGCUUCUAGGCAUAAGUCUUGGUUCCCUUUGAUUUGGCAGUGGGAACAUCCACAGUAGUACCCCUUUCUUGAUGGACCAGUUACAUCUCUUCUUCCUCCUCUUCUUCCACAGCCUCAUAACUUUCACCUAAUUUUACUUUCCCCUUUUCUUUCCUCUUUUUCUUACUUUCUUCUAAAUAUUUCUUCAACUCUGCUUCACUCUCCUUAACCUACUUCUAGUGGCUCUAACCCUAGUAGCAGACUUGGGGUAUGAAGGUUUGAUUUUCUUGGUUGGUUUGGACGCAGUAGGGGUCCUUUGUGAGGAACCCUUGCAUUUUUUUGGGUUAUAAGCGGGCCCCACCUUCUUCAGUAAAUCACCCAAGAUCUCCUCUCCAAAUGAACCAGGUUCAUCUUGUUGUUUGCUCAGAUUAAGCAAACCCUUAGCUUCUUCUCCUGAUCCACUUCCCCCUGACUUCGAGACUCCCUCUUCCACACUCACACAUAUAGCUAAAACCUCCUUCUUCUUUUUCUUCCUCAUUUUCCAUAAUUAUCCGCAACAAUAUCUUUUGCAACCCCUAUCAGAACAUACCUAUUUUCCUCCCUUUAAACUACAUCAGGAAAAAACAAAGCAUGUAUUCACCUCUCAUGGGGAUUCUUGACGUUUGGCAGUGUCAGAAGACCCAAGUUCAUCUCCUUCACGGGCAGAGAUGUAGUCAUCGGAUUCAGAGCUAGACUUGGUCUCUUUAGCUGAGACUUGUUUCUUUUGACCAGACUCUAAUUUUUCAUUCAAAGUCUUCCACAGGGAACCAGUAGCUACAGUUUUUCUUGCUAGGAUUUUCUGGCAACGGAAUCUUGGUUUUGGGGUUUCAACAGGUGGUGUGGAAGAUGAGGAGAUGUUGGUGAAACAGGUGGUGGAGUUCCAGGAUUGUCUUGCGGAUUUGUCAUGAUGGAAAAUUUCUGGACUUCUUAGGAGAAUUUUGGAGAGCUUUUGGAGACUUUUUGGAGGCGAGAGUGUAUGAUCAGGG